UACGGAGGAUGCGAGCGUUAUCCGGAUUUAUUGGGUUUAAAGGGUGCGUAGGCGGAUUUGUAAGUCAGCGGUAAAAAUGCGGUGCUCAACGCCGUAUCGCCGUUGAAACUGACACCCUUGAGUGAGUGAGAAGUAAGCGGAAUGCGUGGUGUAGCGGUGAAAUGCAUAGAUAUCACGCAGAACGCCGAUUGCGAAGGCAGCAUACCGGCGCCCAACUGACGCUGAAGCACGAAAGCGUGGGUAUCGAACAGG
Molecule: ribosomal RNA, 252 nt
Filed under: uncultured Bacteroidales bacterium
Lineage: Bacteria; Pseudomonadati; Bacteroidota; Bacteroidia; Bacteroidales
Description: partial 16S ribosomal RNA
Rfam family: Bacterial small subunit ribosomal RNA
Source: RNAcentral